GAUGAAGAACGCAGCGAAAUGCGAUACUUGGUGUGAAUUGCAGAAUCCCGUGAACCAUCGAGUCUUUGAACGCAAGUUGUGUCCGAAGCCACUAGGCCGAGGGCACGCCUGCCUGGGUGUCACACGUCGUUGCCCCCCCCCCAUCUACUCCUUCGGGAUUGCGGGGGCGGAUGAUGGCCUCCCGUGCGCCUAGCCGCGCGGUUGGCAUAAAUACCAAGUCCUCGGCGACGCACGCCACGACAAUCGGUGGUUGCGAAACCUCGGUUGCCCGUCGUGUGCGUUCGUCGCGCAUCGAGGGCUCGAAAAAAUGCUCGGCUCCGGCUCGGCUUUCAACGCGACCCCAGGUCAGGCGGGGUUACCCGCUGAAUUUAAGCAUAUCAAUAAGCGGAGGA
Molecule: unclassified non-coding RNA, 392 nt
Filed under: soil metagenome
Description: partial contains 5.8S ribosomal RNA, internal transcribed spacer 2, and large subunit ribosomal RNA
Rfam family: 5.8S ribosomal RNA (bases 1-122)
Source: RNAcentral